RNAcentral lists this long non-coding RNA (1092 nucleotides) under Linum usitatissimum (flax). RNAcentral's name for it is "long non-coding RNA (LUSI_LNC006640)". Lineage: Eukaryota; Viridiplantae; Streptophyta; Magnoliopsida; Malpighiales; Linaceae. The record is from RNAcentral.
UCGUAAAACUAAAAAUUAAUUUUUUUAUCAAUGAAUAUAGACAUAUAUUAUAUACUACAGACAUUAAAUCUGCAUUUGAACAAAUAUAUACAAGGAGCAAACCCACCCAAAUCAAGCGUCGCCUGCCACCCAACAAAGCAACAGGCAACCCCAAAAAAGCCGCACAGGUUCAGCAACAGACCUGACACAACCAAAAGCCACCACAAAAUCAGGCCCCCACCCAAAAACCUCAUCGAACCUAAUCUGGUUCCCAACAAAAGCUACACAACUGAAGCCAUUCCACCAUCUGCUGAUUUGAAAACAGACCUGCGACUUUAAGCCAAUGCCCAACAACAGAACUAAUCCUAUAAGCAACUUGCAACACAAAACUACAUAUAUCCUUGAAGAUUCUCCUAUUUCUCUCAAGCCAUAUAAACCAACAAAAAGCGUGCAAAAGAACCCACAACACCACUGCAAAUUCGAUUGAACAGUUUAAUACUUACCAACCUAUAAUAACCCCAGCCAUUCGAUGGUGGAAAGGACCAAAGUUGGAAAGGGCAGAACUGAACCUCACCCAUACCUGUCGAGAGCACUUGCAAAAAUAGAAAAAUGUGGCUCACUAAUUCCGCCUCCCGCCGACACAAGUAGCACCAAUUUACAGCACUAGGACCUCUCUUUUUCAUAUUUUCCACUAUAAGGAUACUGUCUUGGAAAACCAGUCAAAUGAAGGCUUGGAUCUUGGUUGGAACUUCCUUCUGCCAAAUGCUCUGAUACAAAAAAUUCUCCACCCCCGAGAAAGUUUGUCUACGCAGCUCUGCCAUAAAUGAUUUCAUCGAAAAGGCGAGGAGUUAUGCAGGGUCCACAUCACCCUGACAGGCCCCAUCGAAAAGGCUUAAACGGAAAGAUUUGCUAGAAAUGCUUGGAAUAGUAGUCAUUCUUUCGCAGCUCCGCCUCUUACAUGGAAGCGAAAGGGGCUUAUCAAAUCGUACCAUGCAAUCAUCAUCAACGCAAAACAAAAGCAUCAAGUCCAAGUAUUGAGCCGAAGCUCCAAUCCUUGGGAAAGUAGAAGCAAGCCUCACAUCCUUCACCCAAAAAUCGCUCCAAAAGGACCCC